UAUCACUCCUUUACGGGAAGGAUAAGAAGCUUCGACAAGGUUCGAGUNNGAGUCUCACGCAGUGAGACAACGUGCUUUAGCGCGGCCCGCAGGGUGAGGAACGAAGAGACGAAUAAUCCUUCCCCCACCACCA
This 133-nucleotide small RNA is filed under the name Serratia liquefaciens. RNAcentral's name for it is "RtT sRNA". It matches the Rfam family "RtT RNA". Rfam says of the family: This family represents a bacterial cis-regulatory element known as RtT RNA. The exact function of RtT is unknown although it is thought that it may be involved in changing the cellular response in relation to amino acid starvation. Lineage: Bacteria; Pseudomonadati; Pseudomonadota; Gammaproteobacteria; Enterobacterales; Yersiniaceae. The record is from RNAcentral.